GCGAACGCUGGCGGCGUGUUUUAGGCAUGCAAGUCGAUCGGCAGCGAUUCUGUAGCAAUACAGAAGUCGGCGAGAGGCGGACGGGUGAGUAACGCGUAGGAAUCUUCCCACAGAUUGGGGAUAGCCGGGAGAAAUUCCGGGUAAUACCCGAUAAUAUUGAGAGAUCAAAGGCGCUGUAAGGCGUUGUCUGUGGAUGAGCCUUCGUCCCAUCAGGUAGUUGGCGGGGUAAAUGCCCACCAAGCCAAAGACGGGUAGCUGGUCUGAGAGGAUGAUCAGCCACAAGGGAACUGAGACACGGUCCCUACUCCUACGGGAGGCAGCAGCCAAGAAUCUUCCGCAAUGGGGGAAACCCUGACGGAGCGACGCCGCGUGAAGGAAGAAGGUCUUCGGAUUGUAAACUUCUUUUGUAAGGGAAGAAUAAGUCUGCCAGGAAAUGGGCAGAUGAUGACGGUACCUUAUGAAUAAGCCCCGGCUAAUUACGU
This 482-nucleotide ribosomal RNA is filed under the name uncultured bacterium. Its description in RNAcentral is "bacterial SSU rRNA". It matches the Rfam family "Bacterial small subunit ribosomal RNA", at positions 29 to 506 of the family's 1533-position model. The record is from RNAcentral.